UAGCUCAGUUGGUAGAGCAUGGUGUUUGCAAUGCCAGGGUUGUGGGUUUGAUUCCCAU
This is a non-coding RNA of Salmo salar (Atlantic salmon), 58 nucleotides long. The record is from Rfam. NCBI's taxonomy places the organism in Eukaryota, Metazoa, Chordata, Actinopteri, Salmoniformes, Salmonidae.